AUUGAACGCUGGCGGCAUGCUUUACACAUGCAAGUCGAACGGUAACAGGCCUUCGGGUGCUGACGAGUGGCGAACGGGUGAGUAAUGCAUCGGAACGUACCCAGAGGUGGGGGAUAACGCAGCGAAAGCUGUGCUAAUACCGCAUGUGAUCUGAGGAUGAAAGCGGGGGACCGAGCAGCAAUGUUUGGCCUCGCGCCUUUGGAGCGGCCGAUGUCGGAUUAGCUAGUUGGUGGGGUAAAGGCCUACAAGGCGACGAUCCGUAGCUGGUCUGAGAGGACGACCAGCCACACUGGGACUGAGACACGGCCCAGACUCCUACGGGAGGCAGCAGUGGGGAAUUUUGGACAAUGGGCGCAAGCCUGAUCCAGCAAUGCCGCGUGCGGGAAGAAGGCCUUCGGGUUGUAAACCGCUUUUGGCAGGAACGAAACGGUGUCCGCUAAUACCGGGCGCUAAUGACGGUACCUGCAGAAUAAGCACCGGCUAACUACGUG
RNAcentral lists this ribosomal RNA (491 nucleotides) under uncultured bacterium. RNAcentral's name for it is "partial 16S ribosomal RNA". It matches the Rfam family "Bacterial small subunit ribosomal RNA", at positions 29 to 507 of the family's 1533-position model. The record is from RNAcentral.